Molecule: non-coding RNA, 69 nt
Organism: Podarcis lilfordi (Lilford's wall lizard)
Lineage: Eukaryota; Metazoa; Chordata; Lepidosauria; Squamata; Lacertidae
Source: the annotation of a GenBank genome assembly
GGAUAGCUUGGUUGGUAGAGCACGAGACUCUUAAUCUCAAGGUCAUGGGUUCAAGCCCCAUGAUGGGCA